Molecule: small RNA, 1544 nt
Filed under: Histoplasma capsulatum
Lineage: Eukaryota; Fungi; Ascomycota; Eurotiomycetes; Onygenales; Ajellomycetaceae
Also listed under: 1 other name
Description: hypothetical RNA
Source: RNAcentral
CUAUGGCUUUAGGUGAAGGGACCUUUCUUGAAGAAAUGCAGAAGGUAAAUCAUCUAUUUGGAUUAAAAUGCCUAGGUAUAUAUAAGGGCCGCACAUUCAGGAACGUGCCAUAUUGGUUUCUACCAACAACCUGAAAACUCCAGAAAAUGCAACAGAGGGCUAAAAAAGCAGGACAGAUAGAUCGAACAAAGAAUCCUCCCGUAGACGAGACCAAUCUCGUCUUACAAAAGACAUUUCUGCGAGGAUCGUCGUUAGCCUUCUUCGAGCACUCAUUUCCUCGUCGUCUUGCCAGUUGCGGUAGUAUUGCUUCACAAUUUCACAUAUUUGGCGAUAGCAGGAAUACCUAAUGCAGCGUCCACGAAUCAGUAACCGACCAAUAUUGGAGUAUAAAUGGAACAUACGAGGAAAGGGAAAACGAACAGGAGUAAGCGGAUACGUAGUAAUUCAUCGUCCAUCUGCAUCUGCAUCUUGCUAGAUCCAUAUCCAUUUAAUAGAGCUGCCGAUGGAUUCUCGAAGACCUUCGCCAUCAUAACAUCACCCCACACGGCAUCACUGAAAUCAACAAAUCCCGUCACGUCUUUGGUGUCCGGGUCAACAAGGACAUUCGAUUCGUCUCCAAUAUUCACGACAACAAGACGGGGUUCCGUAACAACACCAAGCGCUGGGCUGAGCCGCAUGAUGUGGUGACGGAUCUCAGCGUAUGGCAGUGAAAUGAACAUAUCUUCAGCAUCAUAGAGGAUUGAUUCAGCGAAUAUUAGGAAUGCGUGUUUCCAACUCUGUCUUCCCCUACCCUGGGAAACGGAAUGAAAAUUGCCGAAUUGGGUGGAUGUGAACUGGCCGAGGAAUUUUACCGUCCGUCCCAGUUGCUCAUCUACACGAUUCCGAUCUGCAAAAGUGAGAGACGACGGAUCAAUCUCACUAAGUGGCACCCCGCUGAGUGAUUGCUUUAGGAGAAAAUGAGUUCUAGGAUCAAACUUUAGGACAUCGAAGCCGAAGAGACGUGGGAUAUAUGGGCUGUUUCGUGAAGCCAACAACGAAAGGACCGCGGCUUCCGUCCUCAGGGAGUGUUUUUCUUGACGUAGCAGUGUGGUGGGUUGCCUAGGGCUGGCCUUCACGGUGAGAUCGAGUCCAUUAGAGAGUUUGAGAAGGUAACGCGGAUAGACGUUAUCGCGGAGUGGCUUAUAAUCUAGGACUCGAGCAGAAGGAAAUAUAGGCUGGAUAAGAGUUUGGAACAUAGCAAGAUCGGGACGGGAUUUAGUCUCAGAUUCUGGGAGAUAGAGGGGCAUUUCCUCUUGAAGGAAAUGAUGUAACAAAAAGUAUAUAGUUAUAAUCUUAAACGCUCGAAUGCUUUUAGGAUAUUUAGACAAUCUAUCAUCAUAAUACCGUGAUAUAUGUAUCGAACAAUUCAGAUGGUGUUAAAUAUGGAAUUGGCUUCGAAGUAUGGCAGCUCAAGUUCCAUAUAUGUGAUUGACAGACGAACCAACCGUGAGCAAAUUUGACAUGGUUGACGAAUCUCGGAUCCAGGAUCCAUGAAAUUGCACGGC